GUUGAAACACCAGUUCCCGUACGAUCAUCGAAGUUAAGCAACGUCGAGCCUGAUCAGUAUUACCUAGAUGGGUGACCGCUUGGGAAUGCCAGGUACAGUA
Acanthosepion pharaonis is the source of this 100-nucleotide non-coding RNA. NCBI's taxonomy places the organism in Eukaryota, Metazoa, Mollusca, Cephalopoda, Sepiida, Sepiidae. The record is from the annotation of a GenBank genome assembly.